AGUAAGUCUCUGACUUCCACUCCUGAAGCCAUUAAGAAGCCACUCACUCCAGUUCAAGUAGUGCAGAGAAAUAAUUGCAGUAAGAGCCACAGGAGCAGCAUUUGGCCAACACCAAAUGCAAGUCAGCUACACCUAGAGGUUCAAGAAAACACAGAACCUAAACCAGAGGAAAUGCAUCUGCCAACAUAAGCCCCACAAAGACAGACUGUGAACUCAGGACCACUGAAUUGCUUCUCUGGACUAUGCAAAAGAUGAAAAGGAAACUUACAGGCAAUGCAAACUACCCAACAGUCUAGAUACGAGAAGGUCAACAAAUCAAAGAGCGUUGAAAGCAGUUGCUCAAGAUAAAUAAAUGGUUGCAGAUCACAAAGGCUAGACAUCCACUUUUACAAUGGUGUUUUCCAAGAAAGUUCUCCACGCAAGGUGACGGCUCCAGCAUCACUUUCCACCGACACUGAAAGAUGUUAAGAUGUCAGCUUUCCAGAUUUUUGCAAUAGCUCUUGCACAUGGUUCUGGGCAUGACAACAAGAAAGCUGACUUGGUGAUUUGUUGUCAAUUCUGAGGCAGAAGAUGGAGAAACACAAAGUGCAGUUCACUCUGUGGACUGAUCUAAUUAGAAGACAGUAUGAGCCAGCGAGGUCAAGAGUUGAAAGUUACUUUUACUAAAAAAAGGACACAAGAACAAAAGCGUCUCCAAGGUACCUAUCUUCUCACAUCCUUGCUUCAGUUCUUGCUCCUUUGUUCAGCUAACACCUAG
This is a long non-coding RNA of Gallus gallus (chicken), 757 nucleotides long. RefSeq lists it as uncharacterized. The transcript has 3 exons. The record is from RefSeq and is a predicted model, not a curated record. Lineage: Eukaryota; Metazoa; Chordata; Aves; Galliformes; Phasianidae.